GUCCCUUUGGGGACAUCCGAUAAAAUUGGAAUGAUACAGAGAAAUUUAGCAUGGUCCCUAUCACCCUGUGCAAGGAUGACAUGCACAAAAAAUGAUGACCAAAAGGAUUCU
This is a non-coding RNA of Cucumis melo (muskmelon), 111 nucleotides long. The record is from Rfam. Lineage: Eukaryota; Viridiplantae; Streptophyta; Magnoliopsida; Cucurbitales; Cucurbitaceae.